GCCGGAGUAGCUCAGGGGUAGAGCAGGGCUUUCGUAAAGCCAAGGUCGUGGGUUCAAAUCCCACCUCCGGCU
Molecule: transfer RNA, 72 nt
Filed under: Candidatus Parcubacteria bacterium
Lineage: Bacteria; Candidatus Parcubacteria
Description: tRNA-Thr
Rfam family: tRNA
About the family: Transfer RNA (tRNA) molecules are approximately 80 nucleotides in length.
Source: RNAcentral